UCCGAGAUCGUCUAAUGGUAGGACGUCGCUCUCUGGAAGCGAAAAUUGGGGUUCGAAUCCCUGUCUCGGAA
RNAcentral lists this transfer RNA (71 nucleotides) under Patescibacteria group bacterium. RNAcentral's name for it is "tRNA-Gln". It matches the Rfam family "tRNA". Rfam says of the family: Transfer RNA (tRNA) molecules are approximately 80 nucleotides in length. The record is from RNAcentral.